GGAGGGUUCGCAUAGUGGCCGAGUGCAUCCGCCUUGAAAGCGGAAGACGGGAGACCGUCCGGGAGUUCGAAUCUCCCACCCUCCG
RNAcentral lists this transfer RNA (85 nucleotides) under Actinomycetes bacterium. RNAcentral describes it as "tRNA-Ser". It matches the Rfam family "tRNA". From Rfam's summary of the family: Transfer RNA (tRNA) molecules are approximately 80 nucleotides in length. Their secondary structure includes four short double-helical elements and three loops (D, anti-codon, and T loops). Further hydrogen bonds mediate the characteristic L-shaped molecular structure. tRNAs have two regions of fundamental functional importance: the anti-codon, which is responsible for specific mRNA codon recognition, and the 3' end, to which the tRNAs corresponding amino acid is attached (by aminoacyl-tRNA synthetases). tRNAs cope with the degeneracy of the genetic code in two manners: having more than one tRNA (with a specific anti-codon) for a particular amino acid; and 'wobble' base-pairing, i.e. permitting non-standard base-pairing at the 3rd anti-codon position. Lineage: Bacteria; Bacillati; Actinomycetota; Actinomycetes. The record is from RNAcentral.